GAAGGGCAGGGCUAGCCCUGGCCUGACUGGAGCCCUACCAUCCGCUGCGCACUGGGUGGUCUAGCGGCUACCUGACUGACUUCCCCAGCCGACUCCGUAUCGAAUGUUUACCUUUGCACUGAUUGGACACCGAGGUGGCAGGAGGUUGGGGCCGCCGAGAAACAGGAUUUGAGCUCAGGCUCUUGCUCCGGGCACACUGGGCAACAGAACUCGGCAGAUUGGCGAUUCCCAGCCGUUGGGGGUUGCAGCCAAGGUCUGCCCCACCAAGCCGUAAAGAGCCUUCCCCUGCCGCUGCCGGUGUUAACCUUUCAGGCUAAGAAAGUCCCCGCCGACACCCGCGGUUCUCUCCUCCGGAAUCAAAACCUCUUGGGAAAGAAUUAGCAUAACAAUGGCUCCAACAAGCAUUGGAUCUUACUGAGUAUCACAAGACGUCACAGUUAUUUAUAAUAAUGUCCUGGCUGUUUUCCCUGCCUGCAAUGCCCUCCUCUACCCGCUUCCACUCCUCACCCGUCAACGCCUCUCUGAGCCCUACCUUAACCACCCUAUUUGAAAUUUGACCUUGAGGCAUUUUUGGAGAAGGAUUUAAAAUGAACGUACCCAGCUGUGUCUCAAAAGAAGGGUUGAGAAUUAGGAAGAGAAAUUAAUGAGCAGGCGAUGACUUCAGAGCGCACCGCCAUCGCCACCGCCUUCACGAGCACCAACGCGAGGCUGAGGUACCACUGGGGCUUCCACCGCUGGUUGGCCUAGAAGUUCUUCAAAGGGAUCAGCUCCUGGAACCGCACAACAACAUCUUCAGCGGUGUGUCAGAAAGCAAUAAAAGAGGAGAUUCUUAUAGAAGGACUUGGCGUUCAUUGGCCAUGGCAAAUAGAAGACUGAAAGCUCUUCAUCUUGAAAAUGGGCUUCUCAAAUCGGGAUUGAGGACUCUGGAUUUUAGCAAUUAAGACUGAAGACCCAUUGAUUUGAUGAAUUUAGAAGGAGGAAUUUUAUUCCUCCACCACCACCACCACCAAGUUUCUGAAGAUGAUGAACUCUUUGCUUUGAGGUGGUUUCUCACUUGCCCUGGCAUCUUGCAGGAACUCAGUGUGCUAGAAAUGAACGACUUCUUGGGAUUACAGUUGCAAUACUUGGUCUGGGAUCAGCUUAAAAUAUACCUUGUAUGUAAAUACUGAUGAACUACUCAGGAUGACUAGGGUUACCUGACCUCUCUGUUUAUACUCUGGACAGUAGGUACACUGUGCUGGAGUCACUGUUCAUGGAAAGAGCUGGUUAGGACCUCUCUAUCAGGGAGUGAAUCCUCUGAAAAAGGAUCUGGCACAACAGUUUCAGUCAAUGCUUGAAGUGUCAACUAAAAAAUUAUUCACAACCUAGAAGUUGAGAAUUAUGUUUUAUUUGGCGGAAAGUUUUUAGGACUUCAAGCCAGGGAGGCAGCAUUUCAAGUAACCCUGAGGAGGCGUUUGCAACAAAGGGCAGGUAGUCAGAACAUCAAAGAUUACUGUUAAGAAAACCAGAAAUCCCAAAUGGAGUUUAGUGCUUUCCGAUGUAUGGGAAGAUGCAAGAAUCUGGGCUCACUGAAAUCAUUCUUUUGAUAUGCACCUAAGCUAUCUGGGGCCAGUAUCCAGUGUUUUCACAUCCUGAGUUUCCUCAGGGCUCACCUUAGGGAGUGGCUGCAGUCUGAUGGCUGCUAAAUGGCAGGUAUUCUUUGUUUCCUUCCUGAGUUCCCUCAGGGGUCACCAGUUCACCUUCCUUGGUGGCCGCUUGGCUGCAAUCACUGAUGACUGUGACAUCCUUUGUUUACUGAUACUGCAGGCAAUAUUCCAUUUAUUAGGAGCUGUUUACUUUUAUGUAGUAACUUGGUUAAGAUUGCUGGUGGCUUGGGUUAGCUAAGAAGACAGUCUUUAGUUCCCUGCCUUAAUAAGAGGUGUCAGAUUAAGAUGUGAAAGCUUCAAGACUGUUUCAGUGAAUACCAUUUCUGAGUUCACAGUGUAGUUCAGGAAUUAACUUGGAGUAGCUAUAGAGGAAGAUCCCACAUUUCAAAGUUUGCUGUUGCUGGAUUUCGAAAUAAGUCAAUGAGCCGUGAAUGAAUUAAGACAACCUGCAUAUCAUAAAAAUGUCAAAAUACUGCAUCUGGUUAAAUAGGAGAAAAGAGAUUGCUUUAUUUGCCUUUUUUACCCACCUUGCCUGUAAUGUUUGUAAUCAUGAAGACGGAAUAAAUUUGUAACAUUUAGUUUCUACCAUAU
Long non-coding RNA from Phocoena sinus (vaquita), 2237 nucleotides. Lineage: Eukaryota; Metazoa; Chordata; Mammalia; Artiodactyla; Phocoenidae. The record is from Ensembl.